Haliotis rufescens (red abalone) is the source of this 1222-nucleotide long non-coding RNA. RefSeq lists it as uncharacterized. The record is from RefSeq and is a predicted model, not a curated record. NCBI's taxonomy places the organism in Eukaryota, Metazoa, Mollusca, Gastropoda, Lepetellida, Haliotidae. The transcript is spliced from 3 exons.
CCAACUUUGUACUGAUCGGAAUGCAUCAACAUGGCUCAGUCAGCAACACAAACACGCCUACUGAUAACUUUCAACUUGUGAACAGUAUAAUGUUUUUGUUUGAGGGUCAACAUUACCAAAGUGAACUCACCCGACCUGGACUCGACACACUAAUGUUUAUACACAGCUAACCAUCUCCAGCUUGAAAGUUUCACAAACAAUAAUGGCUGGGAUUCUCAGGCAGCUUUAAAGUAACAUCUUUGAUGCUUUGGCAGGAGGAAUGACACAAAGAAUGGGAGUUUGGCAUUUACCAGAUCCGAUCAUCAUUCCCUACAGCUACACUGUAUCGGCCUGGGGUCAGACCAGUCAGCAGGAGUUACACACACACCACACUGACAGUCUUCCAGGACAAUGCUGAGUCUACCACGCAGUAGCAAAGGACUCCCCAUCCCACCAACGUAGAAAGGACUUCUCCUGCAAUCAUACACAUCAUUGCAACUUGUCCAGACAGUCCUUGGAAGAUCCUGGGUCAUUAGAUGUAAUUCUGAUUAUUAAUGCCUGCAGUGUUUCAGACAACAAGAAGAUAGUAGGAGAUGAGUGUGGUUUUAUACUUAAUGUUGUCACAGCAGCUGGAAUGUAGGCUUGUGAUCAGAGUUCAUCAAAAUCUUGUGCAGCUAUUAAGCAUGAAGAAACACGUUCGAUCCAACCCUGACAUUUCCAGAUCAAGUCUCCCUCAGUUCCUGCUGUGGAAAUUACUUUAUUAAAGGCUGAUGAACAAAUCGGAGAGAUUCAAUGGAUGCUGAUCAGCUGUUCAACAGCUGACAAAACCUGUCGAUUUGGAUUUACAGGAGUGUGAGAUGCAUGUCAAGCUCCCCAUCAUGAGGGCAGUCACCAGGGCUAGACUAGCUGAGCAAGCCAGGGCUACCAGACUCAGACAGGAAUCAUGUGCUCAGACUCUGUCACAAGUGGAAUUCUGCACUGAUCAAUUGGAGACAGCACUUGUUUCCCCAAGCUUAACAAUAAUCAUACCUAGGAAGUAGCAGGAUUUCAGGCCCCUUCCUUCUCCUCACAUUUGUGGGUGGACCAUUUUGAUGAUAUAUGGUAUUCAUAUGGCAUAUGCAUUCAUAUGCAUUUGUUUCCAUGUCUAUCAUUUCAAACAAUAAAUACCCCUUCAUAAUCAACCGUUGACAUUUUAUGUAUAAUAAUAUCAUCAAAUAUGUAAUAUUGAUUGUUUGUUUUUGUA